AUAUUCCGUCUCAUCUUCAUUCUUGAUAAUGUGCUUUGAUCUGAGCUGAAUCCUGUGGGCAGAGCACACAGCCCUGGGGAGAGCCAGUGCUCAUGCGAUGACAGAUGUUGCUGUCCACACAGCCUGACUGUGGCCUUUCUGUAAAGAAGUUCAGCAUCCAGUUGCAGAGGGAGGUGAGGACAGUUUCCCCACCAGUUUCUGGGUGUGAUGGUGCUCAACAUUGAACUAUAAACAGCAGUUGGGCAUAUGAGACCCCAUUUUCCAGCUGGGAUAGGCAGAGUGCAAUGUUGGGGCUAUUGCUUCGUCAGUAGAUCGAUUUGUCGGAUCAGCAAACUGGAAAGGGUCUAACGGAACAGGAAUAAAGGCUCCAUGACCAGCUGCUUGCUCAAAGCAUUUCAUAAUGGCUGAUGUUAAGGCAGGUUACUGUCACCUUCUUUGGCACUGGGAUGAUGAUGAUUGAUUGCUGCCUUGAAAACUGAGAAGAUUUGAGCCAAGUGUCCCUCCCUGGAAGAAGGAUCAUUAGCUGGGCUAAGUUGGAGAGAAUGAUGGAGCUCAGAGGCAGGAAGAUUGAUUCAAUGUCUCAAAUCCCUGCCCAUCCCUGCUAACUUCACACAGGAGCCUGGUGUCCCUGCACUAUCAGAAUUAUGAAUCCUCCCCACCGGGGGACCCGAGACCUUAGUUAUGUAACCAUCACUUCGUGGUUGGGGACCGUGCAAAAAGUUAAUACUCUGUUGGACACAGACUUGAAAUGUAAGUGGACACCGAUUAGUAUCACUUGCAAAUAGGGGGGUUGAAGAGGGAAGGUAGGAGAAGCACGGACAACAAUGGCCUGAAUGGUUCCUGGGUACCAACUACCGAUGGAAGCCAGAGUACUGAUAGCUCCAUUAUCUGAGCAUUUCAUUGGAAUGGAUGUACUGUGGGGACAGACAGUGUAGACCAGUUUGGGAAAGUUCACAAUUGGCAUUUUAAAAGCAAGUGUUUUCAUGCAAUUAAUGAAGUGGGAGUCUCUUACAACACGGCAACCUCGUGCCAUGGUUUGUCUCAAGCAGUACUGAAUAUCAGGAGGACAUCCGGAGGUCUCAGAUACCAUCACACAGUUGUUAAAAGACGAUGUGAUCAGGCCAGCAACCUCGGAGUAUACCAGUUCUGUUGGCCAGUCACAAAGUCGGACAGCAGCUGGAGGAUGGCCGUUGCUUUAUCGCCAGUUCGGUAAACACACGUCUCCAUUGCCUGCUGCUGUCCUGCCCGUCCGCACAUGUCUGAAAGCUGACGGCCGGCUCGGCUACUGUCGCUGGAAAGCCAGUGCCCAGGGGUGGAGAGUUGCUGCUGAAUCCAGUCACAGGAAGUUUUGCAGCCACGGGGAGAGGGCAUUUCCAGCCAGGGUACUGAACUGGUAGUCACCUCAUGGCAUAAAACAGAUCAGCUGCUCAUAUACACAGUCUCCUGGGCAGAGCAGAGGCAAUUGAGAUGUCUGUGUGGUUGACAGAGUGGAAGCAGAGAACUGGCAGAUAGGAGGAAAGCCCUUGUGGGGGGUCAGCCGCUUGGGGAACAAGAUCUGGGAAGAAGCCCAAUCAAAGGAGAUUACUGUUUCUUGCAGGCGCCCAGCAUGAAGACCCACCCUCUGUCAACCACCUUUAAUAGUAAAGUGGAGCAGUUAGCAGGAGUAAACUUAGAAUAAUGUCCCAGAAUACUGUGAGAUGGGGCAAAGGGCACAUAAAACGCUAGACAUCUGCAGAAGGGCAUGCAUGAUACAGUCGAGGGAGCUAAGUGACGAGGUAUGACGGGGAUCCGUGCUGGGUCCAUUGAUAUUUGUCAUCUAUAUGAGUGAUCUGGGGGAUAACGUGGAUAACUGUAUGGGGAUAUAGUGGACAGCAAGGAAGACUAUCAUGGCUCGCAGUGGCAUGAUGCACUUCGGUAGGACCCGUCUGGGUAGGUCAUACGCAGUGAACUGUAGGACUUAUAUAGGUCCACAAUUCAUUGAAAGUGGCAUCACUGGUUGAUAGGGUUGUAAAGAAAGCUUUUGGCUCUUUGGCCUUCAUAAAUUCAAAGUAUCAAGUACAGGAUAUGGGAGAUGAUGUUGAAUUUGUAUAAGACAUUGGUGAGACCUAAUUAGGAGAGUUGUGUGCAGUUUCAAUUGGCUACCUACAGGAAAGAUGUAAAUAAGGUUGAAAGAGUGCACCAGGUCUGAGUCUUAAGGAAAGAUUGAAUAAAUUAGGACUAUAUUCCUUGGAGUUUAGAAGAUUGAGGGGAGAUUUGAUAGGGAUACACAUUAUGAAGGGUAUAGAUAGCGUAAGUGCAAGCCAACGGGCUUUUCCACUGAGGCUGGGUGGGACUGCAACUAGAGGUCAUGGGUUAAGGGUGAAAGGUGAGAUGUUUAAGGGGUACAUGAGGGGAAACUUCUUCAGUUAGAGGGUGGUGAGAGUAUGGAACAAGCUGGCAGCACAAGUGCAUGUGAGCUUGAUUUCAAUGCUUAAGAGAAGCUUGGAUAGGUACAUGGGUGGUAGAGGUAUGGAGGGCUAUGGUCCGGGUGCAGGUUGAUGGGAGCAGGCAGUUUAAAUGAUAGACUGAAGGGCUUGUUCCUUUGCUGUACUCUUCAUAUGCCAGGUGUGGCAGAUUGAUUACAUUGGACUCCUGCCAGAGUAGCAAUGAUUUAAAUACUUGUGGACAACUAUUCAGGUCUUUUAACGGCAAUUCCUAAGGCUUUCAUUGGUUGUAUCAUGUACCCUAUUCCCCCCCAAACAUCAGGACUUAUCGAAAGGAUGAAUGGACUUUUAAAACAACAGAUUGAUUUAUGGACACCAAGCCACACCUUGACUAUACUAUCCCAAGCUUUGUACAACCUUAACAACAGACCUUUAUUCCAAGGAUCACUGAAGACCAGGUUGAUCAGGUGUACCGCAGGAUUCGAGGAGGAAACACACUGAAGAGAAAGCUCCCAUGUCAGGAGGGAACAUUCCAAAUUCUCCAGGGGGAGAUUGUAGCACACGAAGACGGUGACACUUCACUGGGUUUCAGUACAGAGGAAAGAUAAUCUGGUGAGAAUAGCCAUCCUGGAAUUAAUCUUGUCAAAGGCAUGGACCUUCCCGAGUAAAGGUCACCGUCUGGUCGUGCAGUGAAAAAACAUACAAAGACCUGCUCUGCAAGUAGAAGCAGUGACACAUUGAAAUGUAUUAGUGAUUAAUUGUCAAACACGAGGAAAUCUGCUGAUGCUGGAAAUUCAAGCAACACACACAAAAUGCUGGUGGAACGCAGCAGGUCUGGCAGCAUCUAUAGGGAGAAGUGCUGCCAGGAUGAAGGAUUUCUGCAGCCUCCUGAGGAAGUCAAGGCGGUGCUGAGUUUUCUUUGCUGCAGCGUCUACGUGGUUGACCAGGACAGGCUUUCGAUGAUGCUCACUCAUAGAAACAUGGAACUCUCAGAAUCAUGAUGAAGAACACCACUGAUGUCUUGGAGACAAUGACCAACUCUUUUGUUUUGCUGAUAUUGAUUGUUGUCCUCCACCAUGUCACUAAGCUCAAAAUGUCCAUCCUGUACUCUUAUUGAUGUUUGAGAUGCAGGUCACUAUGGUGAUAACAUCUACAAGCUUGAACCUGCCCAUCCAGGGAAUGCUGAAGGCCGAACCUUGUGGAGCACCAGUGUUUAUAAUAAUGGUGGUGACAUUAGACAACGGGAAGCUGAAGAGUUGGGACCAACCACUGUGAUGUUGGAGGAGCUGACUGGCUUUGGUUCAAAUAAAACUAUCGGAAGUGACAGCUUACCAGUUGGGUUGUAUUCAGCUCCGUGGGACUGGAUGAGCUCAGACCUACUGAAAGUGUACAAUGCUAUGCUUCUAGCCAGCAACAUCUCAUACUCCAUAAGGAGGGGCAUCAUUGUCCUCAUCUAUAAGCAGAAGCAAGAAAGGGAGGGUCAGGUCUGGUCUAGGACAUGGGACAGGUGAUCCACCCAGAUCAAACCUGUGCUGU
This is a long non-coding RNA of Hypanus sabinus (Atlantic stingray), 3959 nucleotides long. RefSeq lists it as uncharacterized. The transcript has 3 exons. NCBI's taxonomy places the organism in Eukaryota, Metazoa, Chordata, Chondrichthyes, Myliobatiformes, Dasyatidae. The record is from RefSeq and is a predicted model, not a curated record.